CCUACGGGAGGCAGCAGUAGGGAAUCUUCCGCAAUGGACGAAAGUCUGACGGAGCAACGCCGCGUGAGUGAUGAAGGCUUUCGGGUCGUAAAACUCUGUUGUUAGGGAAGAACAAGUGCUAGUUGAAUAAGCUGGCACCUUGACGGUACCUAACCAGAAAGCCACGGCUAACUACGUGCCAGCAGCCGCGGUAAUACGUAGGUGGCAAGCGUUAUCCGGAAUUAUUGGGCGUAAAGCGCGCGCAGGUGGUUUCUUAAGUCUGAUGUGAAAGCCCACGGCUCAACCGUGGAGGGUCAUUGGAAACUGGGAGACUUGAGUGCAGAAGAGGAAAGUGGAAUUCCAUGUGUAGCGGUGAAAUGCGUAGAGAUAUGGAGGAACACCAGUGGCGAAGGCGACUUUCUGGUCUGUAACUGACACUGAGGCGCGAAAGCGUGGGGAGCAAACAGGAUUAGAUACCCUGGUAGUCCACGCCGUAAACGAUGAGUGCUAAGUGUUAGAGGGUUUCCGCCCUUUAGUGCUGAAGUUAACGCAUUAAGCACUCCGCCUGGGGAGUACGGCCGCAAGGCUGAAACUCAAAGUGAAUUGACGG
This 589-nucleotide ribosomal RNA is filed under the name Bacillus sp. ICS20415. RNAcentral describes it as "bacterial SSU rRNA". It matches the Rfam family "Bacterial small subunit ribosomal RNA", at positions 338 to 916 of the family's 1533-position model. Lineage: Bacteria; Bacillati; Bacillota; Bacilli; Caryophanales; Bacillaceae. The record is from RNAcentral.